This 496-nucleotide ribosomal RNA is filed under the name uncultured bacterium. RNAcentral describes it as "bacterial SSU rRNA". It matches the Rfam family "Bacterial small subunit ribosomal RNA", at positions 37 to 507 of the family's 1533-position model. The record is from RNAcentral.
UGGCGGCGUGGAUUAGGCAUGCAAGUCGAACGGGAACGGAAUCUUCGGAUUCCUAGUAGAGUGGCGAACGGGUGAGUAACGCGUGGGAAACCUGCCUCUGAGAUGGGAAUAACACUCCUAACGGAGUGCUAAUACCGAAUGACAUUGUUGAUUCGCAUGUGUCGACGAUCAAAGGUGGCCUCUGCUUGCAAGCUACUGCUCAGAGAUGGUCCCGCGUCCCAUUAGCUUGUUGGUAGGGUAACGGCCUACCAAGGCGACGAUGGGUAGCUGGUCUGAGAGGACGGCCAGCCACACUGGGACUGAGAUACGGCCCAGACUCCUACGGGAGGCAGCAGUCGAGAGGCUUUGGCAAUGGGGGAAACCCUGACCAAGCGACGCCGCGUGGGCGAUGACGGCCUUCGGGCUGUAAAGCCCUGUCAUGCGGGAAGAAAGAGCCUUGUGAUAACACCACGAGGUUUUGACGGUACCGCAAGAGGAAGCUCCGGCUAACUCCGUG